GAUUCCAAUUCCAUUCAUAGACUAAAUGCACCCUAAGCUAAGAGGAUGACUUAAGGCUCUUUAGGCUUGUAGCACCAUAAUUGGAUCUUAUUUGGCAUAUGAAGAUCUUAAAAGAAACACUAUGUGCAUCAACUCAGACAAUGCUGACCCUUAAACGCACUGUCUUCUUGCUAUGAAGUGAAUGCUUAUACAUAAGAUAUUGAAGAGGCCAAAGGAUCGAGAUUGAUGGCU
RNAcentral lists this long non-coding RNA (231 nucleotides) under Elaeis guineensis (African oil palm). RNAcentral's name for it is "long non-coding RNA (EGUI_LNC036642)". The record is from RNAcentral. Lineage: Eukaryota; Viridiplantae; Streptophyta; Magnoliopsida; Arecales; Arecaceae.